GUAUCCCACAGUGAUUUAACUCCUAAUAUGAUGAGUAUCAAACCGUUAAAAUAAUACUGCUGUGGUCCCAUGAAAUACAGGGCACACAAGGUGUUGAUAUUUUAAUCCUCAUAAUUGCUGUUUUCAAAGUAGAAAAGUGUUGCUUUGCAUUUGGUUAAAUUUUGUCUUUCCCUUGAACAGUGUCCUUUAUCCGCCACAGAGUGACAGACGUUUCCAGCGUGUCUCCAGCUUUUGUAGUGAUGAAUUUUGACCAAGAGGGAAACGUGACAACAUUUGAGAAAAAGAAAACAGAGCUUUGUCAGGAGCUAAGUCUUCAGGCCAGAGACCUUCGCUUUCAGCACAGUACCAGCCUCAUCCCAAGGAACAACUGCAUUAUCAUACGAUUGGA
Non-coding RNA from Plectropomus leopardus (leopard coralgrouper), 388 nucleotides. The record is from RefSeq and is a predicted model, not a curated record. NCBI's taxonomy places the organism in Eukaryota, Metazoa, Chordata, Actinopteri, Perciformes, Serranidae.